UUAGGGUUUCGGAGAAACCCUAGAAAAUGAGAAAGGCUUAGAAAGGUCAGAUCCUGGGUCGAAGUGAUCAGGAAUCGGGCUUCUCGUGCUUGAAUAUGAUGGAGCAUGGCCGGAGAAUCCAUGGAACCAAAGAUCUGAGAAGAUAUGAAAGAGAAAUAUUGAAGUCGAACUUCAACACCUUGAACACCCGAGGUCUAGGUGGAGAGGGGUAAGUAUAGACCAUCCAUGGCCUGAGAAGCCAUAGAUUUCGGUGAAAGCACGGUGAGAAAAUGUAGGAGGAGGCUAGGGUUCCGAAGAACCUUGAGAGAGAAUUGGGAGAAA
This 321-nucleotide long non-coding RNA is filed under the name Nicotiana benthamiana. RNAcentral describes it as "long non-coding RNA (NBEN_LNC042489)". Lineage: Eukaryota; Viridiplantae; Streptophyta; Magnoliopsida; Solanales; Solanaceae. The record is from RNAcentral.